This 49-nucleotide transfer RNA is filed under the name Houlletia sanderi. RNAcentral describes it as "partial tRNA-Leu". Lineage: Eukaryota; Viridiplantae; Streptophyta; Magnoliopsida; Asparagales; Orchidaceae. The record is from RNAcentral.
AAAUCCGUCGAAUUUUUAAAUCGUGAGGGUUCAAGUCCYUCUAUCCCCA